This 31-nucleotide small RNA is filed under the name Bombyx mori (domestic silkworm). Its description in RNAcentral is "ovarian small RNA-38051". Lineage: Eukaryota; Metazoa; Arthropoda; Insecta; Lepidoptera; Bombycidae. The record is from RNAcentral.
UUGGUUCAUGCACUCGGCCGAGCGGCCGGUU